Long non-coding RNA from Cebus imitator (Panamanian white-faced capuchin), 560 nucleotides. RefSeq lists it as uncharacterized. The transcript has 3 exons. The record is from RefSeq and is a predicted model, not a curated record. NCBI's taxonomy places the organism in Eukaryota, Metazoa, Chordata, Mammalia, Primates, Cebidae.
GAUCCUCCUACUUCAGCCUCCUGAGUAGCUAGGACUUCAGGAAAACCACAAGUGUGAUGCAAUGGCAAAAGUAGUAGUAUCCUGAUGGUGGUGGUAAUUCCUAGCCUUCCCAGAGUUGCUGCAGCCAAGUAGCACAUCACUGCAGUGGCAGAAGAACCAUUUAAAAGGAAGAAUUUUGCUUUGAAGAAGAAAGCUAAGGAUUUUCAAAUGGAAUGUGAAGUUGUGGCAUCCAGUUCUGCUUCUAGUGCAUCAGUCCUCAUCUCUUUACAAUGAAUGUCACCUUCUACCUCCUGAACUGAUGUACAUAGGACUCUAGAGGACAUGAUAACUCUAUUUGUACAAGAAACGGGAAGAACCUAAAAUUCACCAAGCUGCACCAUUGUGUUUUAGAAUAUUCUAUUUCAAAUGACAACAGUUCUGCAAGCAGGCAAAACAACAUAAUAAAAGUUAUGUCCCACCAACACUGUGGUAUUAUUAUCUUUACACUGCAGGGAAGGGAGCAAGGCACAGAUGCAUCUGGUCAUGAUUCCAAGAUCACUCACCUGGCUCCUUCAUGGAUG